AAGGUUUUAAGUUAACCAAACUAGUAUCCUUCAAAGCUACCAACAAAAGUCAAACCUUUUAAGCCUUA
Molecule: transfer RNA, 68 nt
Filed under: Parajapyx emeryanus
Lineage: Eukaryota; Metazoa; Arthropoda; Diplura; Dicellurata; Parajapygidae
Description: tRNA-Trp
Source: RNAcentral